AGGCAUAAUAUAAAAUGUGUUUAGUUGUGUGGUCCCACUGAUUAAUUUUCUUUGUCAUCACUUGAUAGGAAGAAAAUUGCUUCGAAGCAUGAAAAACUAAGAAUAGGCAGAUCUAGCGUCCUCCCUGUCAUCAUUAAAUCAGGGAAAAAACAACAAUUAACACAGGCAAAGUCUUCCCAAGUAGAUUCAUUUUCUCAGUCUCAACUGACGGCUCAAGAGAGCAAUCAUCUGGGAUCUAGCAAAGUCUUCCGUCAGAAAUUCAAUAGCAGUGUUAGUUCACUCCCUCAUCUGGAAGGCCAAACGAAGCACAAUUUCAUUGUAAACGCCACCAGACCUCAUCCACAAGACAG
Molecule: long non-coding RNA, 350 nt
Filed under: Chrysemys picta bellii (western painted turtle)
Lineage: Eukaryota; Metazoa; Chordata; Testudines; Emydidae
Description: lncRNA (ENSCPBG00000009707.1)
Source: RNAcentral